CCUACGGGAGGCAGCAGUGGGGAAUUUUGGACAAUGGGGGCAACCCUGAUCCAGCAAUGCCGCGUGAGUGAAGAAGGCCUUCGGGUUGUAAAGCUCUUUUGUCAGGGAAGAAAAGGGUCUGGCUAAUAUCCAGAUCUGCUGACGGUACCUGAAGAAUAAGCACCGGCUAACUACGUGCCAGCAGCCGCGGUAAU
Molecule: ribosomal RNA, 194 nt
Filed under: uncultured bacterium
Lineage: Bacteria
Description: partial 16S ribosomal RNA
Rfam family: Bacterial small subunit ribosomal RNA
Source: RNAcentral